Molecule: ribosomal RNA, 460 nt
Filed under: uncultured bacterium
Lineage: Bacteria
Description: partial 16S ribosomal RNA
Rfam family: Bacterial small subunit ribosomal RNA
Source: RNAcentral
CCUACGGGAGGCAGCAGUGAGGAAUAUUGGUCAAUGGACGAGAGUCUGAACCAGCCAAGUAGCGUGAAGGAUGACUGCCCUAUGGGUUGUAAACUUCUUUUAUAUGGGAAUAAAAUGUUCCACGUGUGGGAUUUUGUAUGUACCAUAUGAAUAAGGAUCGGCUAACUCCGUGCCAGCAGCCGCGGUAAUACGGAGGAUCCGAGCGUUAUCCAGAUUUAUUGGGUUUAAAGGGAGCGUAGGUGGAUUGGUAAGUCAGUUGUGAAAGUUUGCGGCUCAACCGUAAAAUUGCAGUUGAAACUGGCAGUCUGGAGUACAGUAGAGGUGGGCGGAAUUCGUGGUGUAGCGGUGAAAUGCUUAGAUAUCACGAAGAACUCCGAUUGCGAAGGCAGCUCACUGGACUGCAACUGACACUGAGGCUCGAAAGUGUGGGUAUCAAACAGGAUUAGAUACCCUUGUAGUC